Long non-coding RNA from Cyprinus carpio (common carp), 665 nucleotides. RefSeq lists it as uncharacterized. NCBI's taxonomy places the organism in Eukaryota, Metazoa, Chordata, Actinopteri, Cypriniformes, Cyprinidae. The record is from RefSeq and is a predicted model, not a curated record. The transcript is spliced from 3 exons.
UUUUAUCCUUUGAUUUUCGUAUUUGACACAUUGACUAAUCACAUGUUCCGCUGAUUCUUCUUCCGAUCCACACUCACACAUAAUUGAUGGAUGCUUUUUCAAUAAAUGCAUUGUUUUAUUUAACCCAGUAUGCCCCAAUCUCAAACUCGAAAUAAUAUGGUCUUUUCAACUGUCCACCAAUAAAACACCAAAGUAGAUGAUGAUGAAGAGUACUCAGGCAGCAAAUUUGAUCAGAAGUGCUCUUGCGUCCUCUAGUGUCUGGUGAAGCGCGUCACACGCUCAGGCAAAAACACAUGAACUUCAUCAAUUUUUCCGAUCUGCGUUUGUGCUGGCUGAAAUGACAAACUGCUUUAUCGAAAAUGACUCUGUAGCUUCAGUCAGUCAGUCUGUCUGAAUUAUCCAGCUCUUCAACUGUGUCUGACAGAGCAUGUGUUCACUGGGGCGAGAGACUUUCUGUUCUAUGUGUCUUAGUGAGGAGGCAGGAGACAAGGUGCAUAUGGUGGCCAUCUGUGAUGGUGUAAGAGCUUCCAAACCAUUGCCUGUUGCCACCCUACGCUACUGUACGCUAAUGAUCAGUUUUCCUGGAUUGGAGCUUAUUCCUCCUGUCACCUUUAAACUGUGCUUUGGUAAAGGACCUGUGUACAUCUCUGCUCAGCAUGUAAGUU